RNAcentral lists this ribosomal RNA (401 nucleotides) under uncultured bacterium. Its description in RNAcentral is "bacterial SSU rRNA". It matches the Rfam family "Bacterial small subunit ribosomal RNA", at positions 355 to 773 of the family's 1533-position model. The record is from RNAcentral.
UGGGGAAUAUUGGACAAUGGGCGAAAGCCUGAUCCAGCAAUGCCGCGUGAGUGAUGAAGGCCUUAGGGUUGUAAAGCUCUUUUACCCGGGAUGAUAAUGACAGUACCGGGAGAAUAAGCCCCGGCAAACUUCGUGCCAGCAGCCGCGGUAAUACGAAGGGGGCUAGCGUUGUUCGGAAUUACUGGGCGUAAAGCGCACGUAGGCGGGUCGUUAAGUCAGGGGUGAAAUCCCGGAGCUCAACUCCGGAACUGCCUUUGAUACUGGCGACCUCGAGGCCGGAAGAGGUUAGUGGAAUUCCCAGUGUAGAGGUGAAAUUCGUAGAUAUUGGGAAGAACACCAGUGGCGAAGGCGGCUAACUGGUCCGGAUCUGACGCUGAGGUGCGAAAGCGUGGGGAGCAAAC